This 489-nucleotide ribosomal RNA is filed under the name uncultured bacterium. Its description in RNAcentral is "partial 16S ribosomal RNA". It matches the Rfam family "Bacterial small subunit ribosomal RNA", at positions 30 to 506 of the family's 1533-position model. The record is from RNAcentral.
AUUGAACGCUGGCGGCAGGCCUAACACAUGCAAGUCGAACGGUAACAGGAAGAAGCUUGCUUCUUUGCUGACGAGUGGCGGACGGGUGAGUAAUGUCUGGGAAACUGCCUGAUGGAGGGGGAUAACUACUGGAAACGGUAGCUAAUACCGCAUAACGUCGCAAGACCAAAGAGGGGGACCUUCGGGCCUCUUGCCAUCGGAUGUGCCCAGAUGGGAUUAGCUAGUAGGUGGGGUAACGGCUCACCUAGGCGACGAUCCCUAGCUGGUCUGAGAGGAUGACCAGCCACACUGGAACUGAGACACGGUCCAGACUCCUACGGGAGGCAGCAGGGGGGAAUAUUGCACAAUGGGCGCAAGCCUGAUGCAGCCAUGCCGCGUGUAUGAAGAAGGCCUUCGGGUUGUAAAGUACUUUCAGCGGGGAGGAAGGGAGUAAAGUUAAUACCUUUGCUCAUGGACGUUACCCGCAGAAGAAGCACCGGCUAACUCCGU